GAUGCUACUGCUGCGCACGCUUCGGUCAUCGCCCCUGAAGUGGAAAAAGGUGCAGUAGCGCGCCUCAGAAAGUACGUUUCAUAUUCGGGUAGCGUGUUCACGGGGUCUGGAUCCGAACGAUAUCCUUGGAAGCAACGUCCUUGGAUGUUGGCACGGAACCCGUGUCAGCAUGUAAUGGAGCGUGCCCUGUGACUCGGGCGUGCACGCCACACUCUGGAUCGCUUCCCUCGGUAAUCAGCACCAGCAUUUUCGGAUUUUUUCUGUGACUGCUUUCUUUUCCUCUAGAACAUCUGCGGCUUUAAAGUCCGUCGGUCAAUCGUGUCUAUCAAGCUCCGUUUUCAGCAGUCGAAUGGUGUUGGUGGUAGCGUUGGCAUUCCGAUAUCGACGCUUCUGGCUGUUGUCAACAUUGUUCAUGUCCAAGCAAACGUUGCCGUCUACGCUUCGCUUGCCGUGCUCGUGUUCUUUGGAUGAGGCCUCGAUGCGCCCGUCGUAGCGAUAACGUUUCGCUGUCGUCAUGUGUUAGGGAAUGUGUACCGUAUCGCCUGCACCUGCCCCCGCUCAUCCCGCUAGAACUCGGAGGGCGAUACUUUGGCGCGUGCACACUCGGUUCAUCGCUCGGUUCACGUCCUCGACGAGCGAAGAAGGCUCUUCCGUAGACGCGUGCCUCCGUUGCUGUGCCCGGUUCUAGACCCUAUGAUCGUGAGCUGCUUCUGGGGGAACUCCGCCCGGCGAGGACUUCAUCCGAAGCACACGUAAGCGCACAACGUUGCAUCCGAUAAAGGAUUGGCGAAGCACGAUGCUGUCCAUGAUGAAACAAGUGCCGUAGGAAAAAAAUUCAUGAUGGAGAACAAGUCGAGAAAUUUCGAUCCGUCUCCGCGUCCUUUUGUGCGAGUAUACGAUACACUCUAGAGUGAGACAACGUUACUGCGACUUGGCAAGUCCGAUUCCAGGACCCUUGUCCACGCAGACAGAAGAGGCGGGAUCCUUCCAGGGCAUCUACCCUGGGUGUUACCAUGCUGACGUAGAGUGCGGUGUUGUCGAUCGCACCAAAGAAAGUGGGAUUUGUUUUCCUAACGGAAUCGAUGAUUCGAGGUAGAAUAGUCAGUGAACUUCCGGAAUGAGCUUUUGAACAAGUCGUCGACGGACGUCGUCGACACUUUUCCGCAUCCGUCAACAGAUGCGGAUCGCUGCGCGCACGAGUUGCCUCGAAACUGAAACUCGAAAACGUGAAAACUUCGUGAUUCGUGCGUGCUGCACGUAAGCAAAUGAGAAGUCUGGAAGCCUAUAGGCAUGACUCCGAUAAUGAGAUUGGUUAUUUUCCGAACCCCUGUUCGACCGCGUCGCGAAUCAUCUUGAUUCCGGUGAUAUAACGACUCCCAGACGCGAAACAUCGAUGGAGCUACUCCGAACGAACAUACGGUCAGGGAUCCUGAAGCAAUUCAUGACCCUGUAAGCUCUCACCGCUGCGUUUCGAAUGCCGAUGCCGUACAUCUGAUAAGAUUCGUAAAAAAUCGAGAAACAGUCACAUGGC
Molecule: RNA transcript, 1531 nt
Organism: Cyanidioschyzon merolae strain 10D
Lineage: Eukaryota; Rhodophyta; Bangiophyceae; Cyanidiales; Cyanidiaceae
Exons: 1
Source: RefSeq, a predicted model, not a curated record